This 230-nucleotide ribosomal RNA is filed under the name uncultured bacterium. RNAcentral's name for it is "partial 16S ribosomal RNA". It matches the Rfam family "Bacterial small subunit ribosomal RNA", at positions 563 to 791 of the family's 1533-position model. The record is from RNAcentral.
AAGGGAGCGUAGGCGGCUGAUUAAGUCAGCGGUGAAAGGUAGCAGCUUAACUGUUUUACAUGCCGUUGAUACUGGUUAGCUUGAGUUGACAGAAGGCAGAUAGAAUUCCUGGUGUAGCGGUGAAAUGCAUAGAUAUUAUCCAGAACACCAAUUGCGUAGGCAAGUUACUAAGUCUCAACUGACGCUGAGGCACGAAAGUGUGGGUAUCAAACAGGAUUAGAUACCCGUGU